This 192-nucleotide long non-coding RNA is filed under the name Helicoverpa zea (corn earworm). Its description in RNAcentral is "uncharacterized LOC124630136". Lineage: Eukaryota; Metazoa; Arthropoda; Insecta; Lepidoptera; Noctuidae. The record is from RNAcentral.
AAAAUUCACGAUCGACAACUAAGACAUCAGGCACUUCUUCAGGAAAUGCUUCAGGUGGCUCGAUCACGGGUACAUCAACAACAACAAACGAAACAUCUGAAACGGGACAAUCAGGAGGAGAUAACACUCCGGGCAAGACAGUUAUAACCAUAAGCGACUCUUCUGGUUCUCAAAGUGUUGUGGUGUCCGGAC